RNAcentral lists this long non-coding RNA (348 nucleotides) under Musa acuminata (dwarf banana). RNAcentral's name for it is "long non-coding RNA (MACU_LNC004984)". Lineage: Eukaryota; Viridiplantae; Streptophyta; Magnoliopsida; Zingiberales; Musaceae. The record is from RNAcentral.
CGGCCACAUCCGGUAGUCCUCCGAGCCUCCGUCGCCCCACUUCUCCUCCUCCGCGUACGUGAACCCGAGAGACCCGAGUCUCACGCUUUCCAAGUCGGCAUUUUGCAGCCAGCCCCGGUACUGGUGCGAUCCUCCGCCGCCGCGCUCCUCCUCCUCCUCCCCCUCGUACUCUUCGUAUAUGAUCUCGAGCGGCCUGCUCCUCCGUCCGCAGCUGAUGAAAUCAUUGCUAAAGAUAACUUCUUGAUGGUAACAGGAGGAUUCCGCCUUGGUUUCCGGGCAGAGUGAGGUAAGCUCCUCCUCCCCGUCAUCGACGGUGGCAACAGCAGCGGGGCACUUGAGCGGCGGGGA